RNAcentral lists this ribosomal RNA (447 nucleotides) under uncultured bacterium. Its description in RNAcentral is "bacterial SSU rRNA". It matches the Rfam family "Bacterial small subunit ribosomal RNA", at positions 29 to 524 of the family's 1533-position model. The record is from RNAcentral.
AACGAACGCUGGCGGCAGGCCUAACACAUGCAAGUCGAACGCUCCGCAAGGGGAGUGGCAGACGGGUGAGUAACACGUGGGAACCUACCUCGAGGUGCGGAACAACCAAGGGAAACUUUGGCUAAUACCGCAUGUGCCCUUAGGGGAAGAUUUAUCGCCUUGGGAUGGGCCCGCGUCGGAUUAGCUAGUUGGUGUGGUAAUGGCGCACCAAGGCGACGAUCCGUAGCUGGUCUGAGAGGAUGAUCAGCCACACUGGGACUGAGACACGGCCCAGACUCCUACGGGAGGCAGCAGUGGGGAAUAUUGGACAAUGGGCGCAAGCCUGAUCCAGCCAUGCCGCGUGUGUGAUGAAGGCCUUAGGGUUGUAAAGGCACUUUCGCCGAUGAAGAUAAUGACUGUAGUCGGAGAAGAAGCCCCGGCUAACUUCGUGCCAGCAGCCGCGGUAAU